CAUGUGGUUGACAUCAUGGUCUCAGGAUGAACGCCUAGCGGGACGGCCAUAACACAUGCCUAGUGGAACGAGAUUCGCCUUCGGGGAUGAGAGUGGGGCACGAAUGAGUAACGCGUAUGCAACCUGCCUUUAACUGAGGGAUAGCCCAUAGAAAUGUCCGCUCAUACCUCAUAGUUCUUUUGGAUCGCAUGAUUUAAAAGAUAAAGCUUUGGCGGUUAAAGAUGGGCAUGCGUGACAUUAGCUAGUUGGUGAGGUAACGGCUCACCAAGGCGACGAUGUCUAGGGGUUCUGAGAGGAUGAUCUCCCACACUGGUACUGAGACACGGACCAGACUCCUACGGGAGGCAGCAGUGAGGAACAGGGGUCAAUGGGCGCAAGCCUGAACCAGCCAUCCCGCGUGCAGGAUGACGGCCCUAUGGGUUGUAAACUGCUCAUGUACACCAAGAAAACGCGCUACGUGUAGCGCUCUGACGGUAGUGUAUGAAUAGAUAUCGGCUAACUCCGUGCCAGCAGCCGCGGUAAUACGGAGGAUGCAAGCGUUAUCCGGAUUCAUUGGGUGUAAAGGGUGCGUAGGCGGCCUAUUUAAGUCAGUGGUGACUUCCUGCCGCUGAACGGUAGAAUUGCCAUUGAUACUGAGAGGCAACGUUACGGUUGAGGUAAGCGGAAUGUGUAGUGUAGCGGUGAAAUGCUUAGAUAUUACACAGAACACCAAUUGCGAAGGCAGCUUACUAAGCCGGCAACUGACGCUGAUGCACGUUCGCGUGGCCAGCGAACAGGAUUAGAUACCCUGGUAGUCCACGCCGUAAACGAUGUUCACUCGCAUCGUGCGAUACACAGCAAGCGGCCAAGCGAAAGCAUUAAGUGAACCACCUGGGGAGUACGAUCGCAAGGUUGAAACUCAAAGGAAUUGACGGGCCCGCACAAGCGGAGGAACAUGUGGUUUAAUUCGAUGAUACGCGAGGAACCUUACCUGGUUAAAUGUAGAACGACAGGCUGUGAAAGCAGCCCUUCUGGCACGUUUUACAAGGUGCUGCAUGAGUUGUCGUCAGCUCGUGCCGUGAGGUGUCGGGUUAAGUCCCAUAACGAGCGCGAAAGUUGCCAGCGGGUCAAGCCGGGGACUCUAGCGAGACUGCCACCGUAAGGUGUGACCAAGGUGGGAUCAACGUCAAAUCAGCACGGCCCUUAUGUCCAGGGCUACACACGUGUUACAAUGGCCGGUACAAAGGGCAGCUACUUCGCGAGAAGAUGCUAAUCUCGAAAGCCGGUCUCAGUUCGGAUCGAAGUCUGCAACCCGACUUCGUGAAGCUGACGAUCCGUACAUCGCAUAUCAGCCAUGAUGCGGUGAAUACGUUCCCGGGCCUUGUACACACCGCCCGUCUUGCAAUGGAAGCUGGGGGUACCUGAAGUCUGUAACCGAUAAGGAGCGGCCUAGGGUACCUCCAUAACUGGUGUUAAGUCGUAACAACGUAGCACGUUAGA
This 1479-nucleotide ribosomal RNA is filed under the name uncultured Sunxiuqinia sp. RNAcentral's name for it is "bacterial SSU rRNA". It matches the Rfam family "Bacterial small subunit ribosomal RNA". Lineage: Bacteria; Pseudomonadati; Bacteroidota; Bacteroidia; Marinilabiliales; Prolixibacteraceae. The record is from RNAcentral.